UGGGAAUUUUGGACAAUGGGCGAAGCCUGAUCCAGCAAUGCCGCGUGUGUGAAGAAGGCCUUCGGGUUGUAAAGCACUUUUGUCCGGAAAGAAAUCCUUGGCUCUAAUACAGUCGGGGGAUGACGGUACCGGAAGAAUAAGCACCGGCUAACUACGUGCCAGCAGCCGCGGUAAUACGUAGGGUGCAAGCGUUAAUCGGGAAUUACUGGGCGUAAAGCGUGCGCAGGCGGUUUGCUAAGACCGAUGUGAAAUCCCUGGGCUCAACCUGGGAACUGCAUUGGUGACUGGCAGGCUAGAGUAUGGCAGAGGGGGGUAGAAUUCCACGUGUAGCAGUGAAAUGCGUAGAGAUGUGGAGGAAUACCGAUGGCGAAGGCAGCCCCUGGCAAGUACUGACGCUCAUGCACG
Molecule: ribosomal RNA, 405 nt
Filed under: uncultured bacterium
Lineage: Bacteria
Description: partial 16S ribosomal RNA
Rfam family: Bacterial small subunit ribosomal RNA
Source: RNAcentral